Molecule: ribosomal RNA, 468 nt
Filed under: uncultured bacterium
Lineage: Bacteria
Description: partial 16S ribosomal RNA
Rfam family: Bacterial small subunit ribosomal RNA
Source: RNAcentral
GACGAACGCUGGCGGCGUGCUUAACACAUGCAAGUCGAACGGAAAGGCCCUGCUUUUGUGGGGUGCUCGAGUGGCGAACAGGUGAGUAACACGUGAGUAACCUGCCCUUGACUUUGGGAUAACUUCAGGAAACUGGGGCUAAUACCGGAUAGGGGCUCCUGCUGCAUGGUGGGGGUUGGAACGUUUCGGCGGUUGGGGAUGGACUCGCGGCUUAUCAGCUUGUUGGUGGGGUAGUGGCUUACCAAGGCUUUGACGGGUAGCCGGCCUGAGAGGGUGACCGGCCACAUUGGGACUGAGAUACGGCCCAGACUCCUACGGGAGGCAGCAGUGGGGAAUAUUGCACAAUGGGCGGAAGCCUGAUGCAGCAACGCCGCGUGCGGGAUGAAGGCCUUCGGGUUGUAAACCGCUUUCGCCUGUGACGAAGCGUGAGUGACGGUAAUGGGUAAAGAAGCACCGGCUAACUACGUG